GAAGAAGGCCUUUGGAAUUGUGAGAGACGAUUUUGGUACAAAUAGUUAAGAUGUGCAUGACCUCAGAGUCUAAGGGGAAUAGAGCCGUGGGGGUAGGGUAAAACAUGCUUCUCUAUAAUAAAGGACGAGACAGAGUAGAAAAACAAGUCCUUGAUUGAUAAGACCACUAACUCUGACAGAGAAGAAUAAGUCCUUGACUGAUAAGACUGCAGGCUAGAAAAACAACUAGGGAGACAUAUACUGCAGACUUUGUGAUAAGGGUCCAGAAUGGAAAAAUAAUGAAUGUUCAGAAUGUGAACCUCGUGACUCUUUAGAGCUAUAGAAGGGAGGAGCUUGAACUGUAUUUAAUCGAAAACUUUGUUAGCCUGGCGUGCCUUUUUUUUUCUCAAGGGUGCCCAACUCUGCAGACUUGUUAAUAAAACUUUGUUUUCCUGAA
Molecule: non-coding RNA, 436 nt
Organism: Chiloscyllium plagiosum (whitespotted bambooshark)
Lineage: Eukaryota; Metazoa; Chordata; Chondrichthyes; Orectolobiformes; Hemiscylliidae
Source: RefSeq, a predicted model, not a curated record